RNAcentral lists this ribosomal RNA (450 nucleotides) under uncultured bacterium. Its description in RNAcentral is "bacterial SSU rRNA". It matches the Rfam family "Bacterial small subunit ribosomal RNA", at positions 328 to 793 of the family's 1533-position model. The record is from RNAcentral.
UGGCCAGACUCCUACGGGAGGCAGCAGUGGGGAAUAUUGCACAAUGGGGGAAACCCUGAUGCAGCAACGCCGCGUGAGUGAAGAAGUAUUUCGGUAUGUAAAGCUCUAUCAGCAGGGAAGAAAAUGACGGUACCUGAGUAAGAAGCCCCGGCUAACUACGUGCCAGCAGCCGCGGUAAUACGUAGGGGGCAAGCGUUAUCCGGAUUUACUGGGUGUAAAGGGAGCGUAGACGGCGAGGUAAGCCUGAAGUGGAAGCCCGCGGCCCAACCGCGGAACUGCUUUGGGAACUGUUUUGCUGGAGUAUGGGAGGGGUAAGUGGAAUUCCUGGUGUAGCGGUGAAAUGCGUAGAUAUCAGGAGGAACACCGGUGGCGAAGGCGGCUUACUGGACCAUAACUGACGUUGAGGCUCGAAAGCGUGGGGAGCGAACAGGAUUAGAUACCCCCGUACUG